GACGAACGCUGGCGGCGUGCUUAACACAUGCAAGUCGAACGGAAAGGCCCUGCUUUUGGGGGGUGCUCGAGUGGCGAACGGGUGAGUAACACGUGAGUAACCUGCCCUUGACUUUGGGAUAACUUAAGGAAACUGGGGCUAAUACCGGAUAGGAGCUCCUGCUGCAUGGUGGGGGUUGGAAAGUUUCGGCGGUUGGGGAUGGAAUCGCGGCUUAUCAGCUUGGUGGUUGGGUAGUGGAUUACCAAGGCUUGGACGGGUAGCCGGCCUGAGAGGGGGACCGGCCACACUGGGACGGAGAUACGGCCCAGACUCGUACGGGAGGCAGGAGUGGGGAAUAGUGCACAAUGGGCGGAAGGCUGGUGCAGCAACGCCGCGUGGGGGAUGACAGCCUUCGGGUUGUAUACCGCUGUCGCCUGUGACGAAGCGUGAGUGACGGUAAUGGGUAAAGAAGCACCGGCUAACUACGUG
RNAcentral lists this ribosomal RNA (468 nucleotides) under uncultured bacterium. RNAcentral describes it as "partial 16S ribosomal RNA". It matches the Rfam family "Bacterial small subunit ribosomal RNA", at positions 28 to 507 of the family's 1533-position model. The record is from RNAcentral.